RNAcentral lists this ribosomal RNA (210 nucleotides) under uncultured fungus. RNAcentral describes it as "partial small subunit ribosomal RNA". The stretch from base 88 to 210 matches the Rfam family "Eukaryotic small subunit ribosomal RNA", at positions 746 to 864 of the family's 1831-position model. The record is from RNAcentral. Lineage: Eukaryota; Fungi.
GAAUGCAUCUAGAUUCAAAGGUCGUCCUUGUGGCGUGCCUGGAGUCGUGCUUCCUAUCUUCCGGUUAGUGGGGUCAAACUCGCUACCGAUCGUUUACUUUGAAAAAAUUAGAGUGUUCAAAGCAGGCGUAACCUUGCCAUUGAAUAUUACAGCAUGGGAUAAUAGAAUAUGACGUUCGGUCUUAUUUUGUUGGUUUCUAAGGCUGAUGUA